Molecule: ribosomal RNA, 279 nt
Filed under: uncultured archaeon
Lineage: Archaea
Description: partial 16S rRNA
Rfam family: Archaeal small subunit ribosomal RNA
Source: RNAcentral
GAGACCCACGCCCACAGUUGCCAGCGUACUCUUUGGAGUGACGGGUACACUGUGGGGACCGCCGCUGCUAAAGCGGAGGAAGGAAUGGGCAACGGUAGGUCAGCAUGCCCCGAAUAUCCCGGGCUACACGCGAGCUACAAUGGUUGGUACAAUGGGUAUCUACCCCGAAAGGGGACGGAAAUCUCCUAACGCCAAUCUUAGUUCGGAUUGAGGGCUGCAACUCGCCCUCAUGAAGCUGGAAUCCGUAGUAAUCGCACACCAACAGUGUGCGGUGAAUAC